UUCAUCUAAUUGUAACCAAGUUGUGAUCAAGCAUUCUGUUGACUAUAUUAAUUUUUGAUUUAGAAGUGGCGUUGGCAGAAAAAUUUGAUUGGAGCCUGCUAUAGUUCACGGGCAAUAUGCCUAAUGUACAUGAUAUGCUUUACUAACUAUUCCAUCAUGAGAGUUGACAGAUUUGAUUCGGGUCUGCUAUAGUUCACGGGACGUAUGGCUAAUGUACAUGUUAUGCUUUACAAACUAUUCCAUCAUGAGAGUCACAUAGACUAUGUUACUUCAAAUCCUUGUUCAUAAUUUAUGUUGUGCUAGGUUUGUGUGGGGCUGAAAUCAAGGUCCGCAAUCUCGGUACCGGGUACCAUAUUGAUAUCUUAUAAUAUGGUACACCUCCGUACCGAACUAGCUAUCUAACCAUUUUUUUCAAUUUUUAUUUUAGUACAGACUGGUACGCACCUUGGUCUGCCUCGGUACAGGGCGGUACACCUCAGUAUAGAGUGGUACGUCUUGGUACAGACGGUACAAGACUUGUACCGACUUGAAGAAAUGUUUUGUACCGAUUUUUUUUGGUACGGUACAGUAAGCCUUGUAU
Molecule: long non-coding RNA, 580 nt
Filed under: Phoenix dactylifera (date palm)
Lineage: Eukaryota; Viridiplantae; Streptophyta; Magnoliopsida; Arecales; Arecaceae
Description: long non-coding RNA (PDAC_LNC021326)
Source: RNAcentral